AGAGUUUGAUCCUGGCUCAGAAUGAACGCUGGCGGCGUGCUUAACACAUGCAAGUCGAACGAUGAAGCCUAGCUUGCUAGGUGGAUUAGUGGCGCACGGGUGAGUAAUAUAUAGAUAACGUGCCUCUUAGUCUGGGAUAGCCAUUGGAAACGAUGAUUAAUACUGGAUACUCCUUCUCUUUAUAAUAAGAGUUGGGAAAGUUUUUCGCUAAGAGAUCGGUCUAUAUCCCAUCAGCUUGUUGGUAGUGUAAGAGACUACCAAGGCAAUGACGGGUAGCGGGUUUGAGAGGAUGAUCCGCCACACUGGUACUGAGACACGGACCAGACUCCUACGGGAGGCAGCAGUGAGGAAUAUUGCACAAUGGAGGAAACUCUGAUGCAGCAACGCCGCGUGGAGGAUGACACUUUUCGGAGCGUAAACUCCUUUUAUAUGGGAAGAUAAUGACGGUACCAUAUGAAUAAGCACCGGCUAACUCCGUGCCAGCAGCCGCGGUAAUACGGAGGGUGCAAGCGUUACUCGGAAUCACUGGGCGUAAAGAGCAUGUAGGCGGGUUAAUAAGUUGGAAGUGAAAUCCUAUGGCUCAACCAUAGAACUGCUUUCAAAACUGUUAACCUAGAAUAUGGGAGAGGUAGAUGGAAUUUCUGGUGUAGGGGUAAAAUCCGUAGAGAUCAGAAGGAAUACCGAUUGCGAAGGCGAUCUACUGGAACAUUAUUGACGCUGAGAUGCGAAAGCGUGGGGAGCAAACAGGAUUAGAUACCCUGGUAGUCCACGCCCUAAACGAUGCACACUAGUUGUUGCUAUGCUAGACAUAGCAGUAAUGCAGUUAACACAUUAAGUGUGCCGCCUGGGGAGUACGGUCGCAAGAUUAAAACUCAAAGGAAUAGACGGGGACCCGCACAAGCGGUGGAGCAUGUGGUUUAAUUCGACUAUACGCGAAGAACCUUACCUGGACUUGACAUAGAUAGAAUAUAACAGAGAUGUAAUAGUGCUAGCUUGCUAGAACUAUCAUACAGGUGCUGCACGGCUGUCGUCAGCUCGUGUCGUGAGAUGUUGGGUUAAGUCCCGCAACGAGCGCAACCCUCGUGUUUAGUUACUAACAGUUCGGCUGAGGACUCUAGACAGACUGCCUGGGUAACCAGGAGGAAGGUGAGGACGACGUCAAGUCAUCAUGGCCCUUACGUCCAGGGCUACACACGUGCUACAAUGGGGCAUACAAAGAGCUGCGAUACCGCGAGGUGGAGCAAAUCUCAAAAAAUGCCUCCCGGUUCGGAUAGCAGUCUGCAACUCGACUGCUUGAAGUUGGAAUCGCUAGUAAUCGUAGAUCAGCAAUGCUACGGUGAAUACGUUCCCGGGUCUUGUACUCACCGCCCGUCACACCAUGGGAGUUGAACUCAUUCGAAGCGGGGAUGCUAAAGUAGCUACCCUCCACAGUGGAUUUAGUAACUGGGGUGAAGUCGAAACAAGGUAACC
RNAcentral lists this ribosomal RNA (1470 nucleotides) under uncultured prokaryote. RNAcentral's name for it is "partial 16S ribosomal RNA". It matches the Rfam family "Bacterial small subunit ribosomal RNA". The record is from RNAcentral.